ACGGCGCUCGGCGCAGGCGCCCCGCCCCGCCCGGGGGCGCUGCUGAUGUGGCCCCGGACAACCUAGCGCCGGGCGUCCCGCCCGCACCUCGCCGGGGCGCUUCCUGGAGGAGGAUGAGGUGGGCUUCCCGGGCUCCCCGGCUCGGCCGCGCGCCCCCUCGCGCCGAGCGUAAUUCACUGGGUUUCCUGCUGCCCGGCGGUGGCCGUGCUGGGAGCCCAGGGGACGGAUCGGAGGAUGCUGCCAGGGCCAGCUUUGCUCUCUGCCCACCCUUUCCGGUUAAAGCUAGGCAGGACGAGCUCUGGCCCUUCCAGAUGGCUUCGCCUAAGGUUAGCCAUCGCAUUACAGCAUGGGCCUGAGGGCGCACGCCCGGAAUCCCGGCCCUGCGGAGGCUGAAGCAGGAAGAUCAUGGUUGAUGGCUUAUUUGGGAUGAAUCAGGCAGAUUAAAAAGAAGCAGAUGGUUCAGAAGAGAGCUCCAAGACAUAUUUUCGGAGGACAGUUCAGAGUCCCCGGGGAAGUCCCCACGUUGCCUGUGACAUCCUCGGGGCUGACCUGAAGCUUCCUGACUCAGCAGGAGGAAAAGGCAAGAAUGAAAUUUUGGACAGUGGAGCAACUGAAAAUGAGGAACAGUGAAUAAAUGAUGUAAAAAACAAAAACAAAACCCAAGUGAGUCACACCGGCUCGUUCUGUGAAAAAGACCGCAGUUUGCAGUGUUUUGCAUUUCUGGUAUCAACAGUGCCUCUCUUGUGUUAAAGACAAAAAUUCAGACCAGUCCAACAGUUUGAGGAAAGAACAAUGCAUCAGGUGGGCAGGCUGGCCAUGGAGAGGGCUGGAGAUGUACUGUGCAGUGAGGGGUGAAAUCCUUUCGAGCUGAUCAGGGAAAUCAAGCGCAGAAAUAACGUGCUGCGUUUCGGGGAAGGUUCUGCCUUGGCGCAGAUGGUCUGGCCCAGGGGCCGGGCUGGCUGCAGCUUGGUUGGUUGUGUGUGGCUCAAACCCAGCUAUUUGUUACCAAAAUACACUCCUAUUUCAACUGUCUAA
Cavia porcellus (domestic guinea pig) is the source of this 1035-nucleotide long non-coding RNA. RefSeq lists it as uncharacterized. The record is from RefSeq and is a predicted model, not a curated record. The transcript has 2 exons. Lineage: Eukaryota; Metazoa; Chordata; Mammalia; Rodentia; Caviidae.